Molecule: ribosomal RNA, 200 nt
Filed under: uncultured bacterium
Lineage: Bacteria
Description: partial 16S ribosomal RNA
Rfam family: Bacterial small subunit ribosomal RNA
Source: RNAcentral
AGAGUUUGAUCCUGGCUCAGGACAAACGCUGGCGGCGUACCUAAGACAUGCAAGUCGCACGGGUGCCCCUCCUUCGGGAGGGGACGCUAGUGGCGGAAGGGUGAGUAACGCGUAGGAACCUAUCGCCGAGUGGGGGAUAACGCUGGGAAACCGGCGCUAAUACCGCAUAGGGUCGCGAGAGUGAGCAAAGCAGCGAUGCG